UCCGGUUUCGUGUUGUCAUUCCUGGAUUCUCGUGCACAGUACACGUAUAAGGAUUGUGAUAAAAUAUAAUUGCCUUAUGUGAAAAGUUUUUUUUUGUUCUAUAUACCAGGAUGCAUCGUAUACAUCGGCCAUACUUCCGGUUUGGUGUAGUCAUUCCUGAAUUCUCCUGCACAAUAUAAGGAUUGUUUAUAUUUCUUAUACAGGUACAAUGUUUCUCAAGACCAAAAUAAAAAGCCCUCCCAAGGUCGUUAGAA
Molecule: long non-coding RNA, 254 nt
Organism: Pomacea canaliculata
Lineage: Eukaryota; Metazoa; Mollusca; Gastropoda; Architaenioglossa; Ampullariidae
Exons: 3
Source: RefSeq, a predicted model, not a curated record